RNAcentral lists this ribosomal RNA (411 nucleotides) under uncultured bacterium. Its description in RNAcentral is "bacterial SSU rRNA". It matches the Rfam family "Bacterial small subunit ribosomal RNA", at positions 29 to 485 of the family's 1533-position model. The record is from RNAcentral.
AGCGAACGCUGGCGGCAGGCCUAACACAUGCAAGUCGAGCGCCCAGCAAUGGGAGCGGCAGACGGGAGAGUAACACGUGGGAACGUGCCUUUUGGUUCGGAAUAACUCAGGGAAACUUGAGCUAAUACCGGAUAAGCCCUUACGGGGAAAGAUUUAUUGCCAAAAGAGCGGCCCGCGUCCGAUUAGCUAGUUGGUGAGGUAAUGGCUCACCAAGGCGACGAUCGGUAGCUGGUCNGAGAGGAUGACCAGCCUCAUUGGGACUGAGACACGGCCCAAACUCCUACGGGAGGCAGCAGUGGGGAAUAUUGGACAAUGGGCGCAAGCCUGAUCCAGCCAUGCCGCGUGAGUGAUGAAGGCCUUAGGGUUGUAAAGCUUCUUUUAGCGAGGGAAGAUAAUGACGGUACCUGCAAG